UACGGAGGGGGCAAGCGUUAUUCGGAAUUAUUGGGCGUAAAGGGCGCGUAGGCGGCCUUCUAAGUCAGACGUGAAAUCCCCCGGCUUAACCUGGGAACUGCCAUUGAUACUAUCUGUCUUGAAUAUCGUGGAGGUAAGCGGAAUAUGUCAUGUAGCGGUGAAAUGCUUAGAUAUGACAUAGAACACCAAUUGCGAAGGCAGCUUACUACCCGAAUAUUGACACUGAGGCACGAAAGCGUGGGGAUCAAACAGG
Molecule: ribosomal RNA, 253 nt
Filed under: uncultured bacterium
Lineage: Bacteria
Description: partial 16S ribosomal RNA
Rfam family: Bacterial small subunit ribosomal RNA
Source: RNAcentral